UCCAAUGAACAAUUUACUGUUUUGACUGAAGCAGGUGUGAAUAACUGAAAGUUGUCUAUAAGAAAUUCUGGGGACCUCUUGCUCCUGUCAGGUUCUAGUGGUCUCACUUGAAGCAAUGUGUGGCGCUCUAUGGCCUACCCUGUGGUCACUCAAGAAGGUAGACAGAGAGGAAGAGAGAAGCGUAAUCGUAAUCGUGUGAACUCGGAGGCAGUCGAAUCUGUGGCUAGCUUCCUAACAGGUACAAAACAGGAGUGGUUUCUCAUUUCUCUGAAACGACAUCAGGCUUGUGUUCUGGAUAAAGUUGCCAAGUGGGCGGGCCUAGGUAUAAAAUAACGAGGCAGAGAUUUGAGGCCAACGUUAGAACCUACUGAGCACUCAGAACAGUGCUACUCCUUCAGACGACUCCAGAGAUGACGCCAGUGUCCAGGGUGGAAGUUCCUUGCAGCAACUGACUGGACGGUCAGUUUGCCACGGAGCGCUCUGUCACUACGCAAACCUGCUGCGCCCCAUCUCCAAUGCUGUUCUGUGGAGGAGCGGAGCAGGAAGAGAGUGGAAGGAAAGCAGCUUCCAGGUACUUAUCUGACAAACUAGAUGCUACCACCGGAAAUGUCCGGACAAAAUACCAAGGACAGUUAGCAUCUUUUUAGGGACCCAGCUGGGAUCUUUCGUGUGUUAUUCCCAGAAGUGUGGUAAAUUCAGGAGAAACUGCGGUACCAUGGUACAUGUUUGGGGCUUGAAAGGCAUCCUCUGCUUUGUGUUCCCGACCCCUCCCCUCUCCCGCCCCUUCACUGAUCCAUCGGUUUAAUCAACUGAUCUAUUUACACAACAUCAUUUGUACUACCUCAUUUUUUUUCUCAGAGUCUGGAAGUUUGGUAUGUGCUAGGCUGAAGGAACAAGCUUCGGAUGUAGACUUGGGCAUGGAGGCUCUAAUAAGUGUCCAUGGUAGACGCCACUCCCUGCCUGUUGUCACAUGAUUUCUGGAAGAAUUGUCUGCUGGGAAAAGGCUCUUGGAUGUCUGUCUGCCUUUCCCCCGCACUUCACCUGCUGUAUCUUUUUAGCCUGAACUGAUCUCACUUGUGCCUGUUUGCUUUUGUGGUUUUAGCAGGAAGUCACCACCAUGAGUGCAAUUAUGUGCUGAUUUCUGUGAAUUCUUCCAGCCAGGCAGUCAUCAGAUUCGGAGCUGCUCCUUUCUCACCGUCCUUUACACUUACAAUCAAGCAGCUGAUAAGUUCCCCUUUAACCCGGUUUUCAGGAGUUUAUUGAACAGGCUUCAGAACAAAGAAUACCAAGGUGAAUAGAGACAAAGGAACUACAGAGAUGUGGAUAACAACAUGUACUGCUCAUGCAGAGAACCUGAACUCCGUUCCCAGCACCCACGUCCCUCACGACCACCUCCACCUCCAUCUUCAAAGUCUCUGUAGAUACCCGUACUCAUGUGCACGUACACAGAUGGUCAAGAAUGAGCAUCUCGAUAAUUACCAAAAUUUCGUGCCUGACUGAUGAGUUUUUCAAGUGCUGUGCUGUGAUUUCCUUCACCUUGAACCAUGCCCGUGACAGAAGCUGCUCAGAUGUUUGUAAGUUGCGGGAAGUUCAUGGGGUUGUGAGUCUCGUCAGGCCCUUCCCAUGGCUGUCUGAGCAGUGAGCGACUGCAGGGCUGUGAUGAACAAGAAGCCAGCACCACUGAGGCAAAGACCUUUGUUUUAUUGGGACUAUGGACGGUGGUUAUCUAGAGCUGAGAAAUUAGCAGUGAUUAAGAGACCAGCAUCACUGAGGUAAAAUCUUCUGAGAAGUCUUUCCUCAAGGUCAGCACACAGAAGUUGUGGCCCGGAGUAAGCCAAGUUUGUAGUUUGUUCUUGCAGCUGACCUUGGUAAUGUGUAAGAGUUUGGAAGGUGUUCUGAAGGAAUGAAGGGUGAGAGGCCAGGAGAGUCCACUGAAGAAGGUGUAGUUUCAGUUGAAGUAGAAGCGUCAGGGCUGAAGGAGUCAUGGAAGAAACCUGAGGCCUGGAACCAUGAGGCAGUGUCAGAGUGCCGGAAGAGACUCCAGGAAGCCACUAGUGAAGGUGCAGCCCAAUUGCCAUAGAAACCCUAGCAGUUUGGAGAACCCAACAAUAGAUCGUGAGUUGUGUGAAAAUAGAGAAAGUGAGGUAAGUCCAAGCAUGCACACAUCCAUUCUCUCUCUGCUUGGUGGAUAUGACUAGCUGCUCCAAGUUCCCUCUGCCAUGAUUCUCCCACAGCGAUGGACUAUAUAACCUGUCAGCUAAAAUAAACCUUCCCUCUCUCUAA
This 2283-nucleotide small RNA is filed under the name Rattus norvegicus (Norway rat). RNAcentral's name for it is "uncharacterized LOC102554276". The record is from RNAcentral. Lineage: Eukaryota; Metazoa; Chordata; Mammalia; Rodentia; Muridae.